This 164-nucleotide ribosomal RNA is filed under the name uncultured bacterium. RNAcentral describes it as "partial 16S ribosomal RNA". It matches the Rfam family "Bacterial small subunit ribosomal RNA", at positions 355 to 511 of the family's 1533-position model. The record is from RNAcentral.
UAGGGAAUCUUCCACAAUGGACGAAAGUCUGAUGGAGCAACGCCGCGUGAGUGAAGAAGGGUUUCGGCUCGUAAAACCCUGUUGUUAAAGAAGAACAUAUCUGAGAGUAACUGUUCAGGUAUUGACGGUAUUUAACCAGAAAGCCACGGCUAACUACGUGCCAG